AACAGGCGAGUAGUAGAGUUGGGAUUAGAACCCAUAUCCCCUGACUCCCAGGCCUGUGCUCUCUCCAUAUGGCCAUACUGCCUCUCGUAAGUGACUCCAUUUCACAUUUUCAAGUCUCUUCCACCUCUGGUGUUAAAUUCAGUGAGUGGAAUAAGUCUGCCUCCUUUCAAAAUGCCGGCGAGGAUUUGGUUAAGCAAGUGACUUUUUGAUCUCUGAGUCACUCUCACCAAACCAGUCUUGGUGCCAUCUGCCAACAGUACCCACAGUGUUUAUGAAUGCCUGGAAGAGGGCAUCUUGGAAGUUCUCCUGUUCAUCAUUCACAAUGGAAUUUGCAGCUGGGGUGCCUUCCUUCAAGGUGAUUUGGAUUUUAUGGACUCCUUGCAGAUCUCUCCAUUCUCCAGGAGCUAGAUUACUUCCAGAUGAGGUAACUGAGGCUCAGAGAAGUUAAGUGACUUGCCC
Molecule: long non-coding RNA, 459 nt
Organism: Ornithorhynchus anatinus (platypus)
Lineage: Eukaryota; Metazoa; Chordata; Mammalia; Monotremata; Ornithorhynchidae
Exons: 4
Source: RefSeq, a predicted model, not a curated record